GAUGAACGCUGGCGGCGUGCUUAACACAUGCAAGUCGAACGGAAAGGCCGAGCUUUUUCUGUGGGCUCGUGGGGCGCGGGUGAGUAAAACACGAGAAACACCCCCCCGUCUCUGGGAUAUAAGUUGGAGAAACCGUGUAUAACAGGGUAUAAGAUCUCCUGGUGCGGUGUGGGGGUUGGAAGAUUUCGCGGUUUGGGAUGGGCUCGCGGCCUAUCAGCUUGUUGGUGGGGUAAUGGCUCACCAAGGCUUUGACGGGUAGCCGGCCUGAGAGGGUGACCGGCCACACUGGGACUGAGAUACGGCCCAGACUCCUACGGGAGGCAGCAGUGGGGAAUAUUGCACAAUGGGCGGAAGCCUGAUGCAGCAACGCCGCGUGAGGGAUGACGGCCUUCGGGUUGUAAACCUCUUUUGGCUGGGAAGAAGCGAGAGUGACGGUAACUGGUAAAAAAGCGCCGGCUAACUACGUG
RNAcentral lists this ribosomal RNA (467 nucleotides) under uncultured bacterium. RNAcentral describes it as "partial 16S ribosomal RNA". It matches the Rfam family "Bacterial small subunit ribosomal RNA", at positions 28 to 507 of the family's 1533-position model. The record is from RNAcentral.